AACGCACCUUGCGCUCCUUGGUAUUCCGAGGAGCAUGCCUGUUUGAGUGUCAUUAAUAUAUCAACCUCUUCAGCUUUUUGCAUGUUGAGUGUUGGAUGUGGGGGUAUUUUUUGCUGGACUCUUGAAUCUGAGGUCAGCUCCCCUAAAAUGCAUCAGCGAAACAAUUUGUUUACCGCUCAUUGGUGUGAUAACUAUCUACGCUAUUGACGGUGAAGCAUGUUUGGCUCCUAACAGUCCAUUAACUUGGACAAACCUCUUAUUAAUGUGACCUCAAAUCAGGUAGGACUACCCGCUGAACUUAA
RNAcentral lists this ribosomal RNA (302 nucleotides) under uncultured fungus. Its description in RNAcentral is "eukaryotic LSU rRNA". The stretch from base 1 to 52 matches the Rfam family "5.8S ribosomal RNA", at positions 103 to 154 of the family's 154-position model. The record is from RNAcentral. Lineage: Eukaryota; Fungi.